CCUACGGGAGGCAGCAGUGGGGAAUAUUGCACAAUGGGCGAAAGCCUGAUGCAGCGACGCCGCGUGAGGGAUGACGGCCUUCGGGUUGUAAACCUCUUUCAGUAGGGAAGAAGCGAAAGUGACGGUACCUGCAGAAGAAGCGCCGGCUAACUACGUGCCAGCAGCCGCGGUAAUACGUAGGGCGCAAGCGUUAUCCGGAAUUAUUGGGCGUAAAGAGCUCGUAGGCGGUUUGUCGCGUCUGCCGUGAAAGUCCGGGGCUCAACUCCGGAUCUGCGGUGGGUACGGGCAGACUAGAGUGAUGUAGGGGAGACUGGAAUUCCUGGUGUAGCGGUGAAAUGCGCAGAUAUCAGGAGGAACACCGAUGGCGAAGGCAGGUCUCUGGGCAUUAACUGACGCUGAGGAGCGAAAGCAUGGGGAGCGAACAGGAUUAGAUACCCUGGUAGUCCAUGCCGUAAACGUUGGGCACUAGGUGUGGGGGACAUUCCACGUUUUCCGCGCCGUAGCUAACGCAUUAAGUGCCCCGCCUGGGGAGUACGGCCGCAAGGCAAAACUUAAAUGAAUUGACGG
Molecule: ribosomal RNA, 567 nt
Filed under: uncultured bacterium
Lineage: Bacteria
Description: bacterial SSU rRNA
Rfam family: Bacterial small subunit ribosomal RNA
Source: RNAcentral